RNAcentral lists this long non-coding RNA (355 nucleotides) under Pongo abelii (Sumatran orangutan). Its description in RNAcentral is "lincRNA". The record is from RNAcentral. Lineage: Eukaryota; Metazoa; Chordata; Mammalia; Primates; Hominidae.
GGUGUGGCCAGCACGUCUUGCCAAGACCCCACCACCCCACCCACCCGCAUCUGUGGCCUCCUGGAAGAACUGAGCUGUGGCCUGGGGUUCCGUGGAGCAGGUGGGGCGUGGAGGAACUGAGCUGUGGCCUGGGGUUCCGUGGAGUGGGUGGGGCGUGGAGGAACUGAGCUGUGGCCUGGGGUUCCGUGGAGCAGGCUGAGUGUGCCGGUCGUGGACGGGUCAUGGGCGGGACUCCCCAGUGUGUCACCACUGAGGCAUCUUCGCCCUCUUACGUGUCUCAGUUUCUCUCUCUAGAAGUCCAAUACCUCUGAGAGGACUCAAAACAGAGUGACCAGCUCCUACGUGCAUUUCCUGG